ACGCUGGCGGCAGGCCUAACACAUGCAAGUCGAGCGGUAGCACAGGAGAGCUUGCUCUCUGGGUGACGAGCGGCGGACGGGUGAGUAAUGUCUGGGAAACUGCCUGAUGGAGGGGGAUAACUACUGGAAACGGUAGCUAAUACCGCAUGACCUCGCAAGAGCAAAGUGGGGGACCUUCGGGCCUCACGCCAUCGGAUGUGCCCAGAUGGGAUUAGCUAGUAGGUGGGGUAAUGGCUCACCUAGGCGACGAUCCCUAGCUGGUCUGAGAGGAUGACCAGCCACACUGGAACUGAGACACGGUCCAGACUCCUACGGGAGGCAGCAGUGGGGAAUAUUGCACAAUGGGCGCAAGCCUGAUGCAGCCAUGCCGCGUGUGUGAAGAAGGCCUUAGGGUUGUAAAGCACUUUCAGCGAGGAGGAAGGGUUCAGUGUUAAUAGCACUGAGCAUUGACGUUACUCGCAGAAGAAGCACCGGCUAACUCCGUGCCAGCAGCCGCGGUAAUACGGAGGGUGCAAGCGUUAAUCGGAAUUACUGGGCGUAAAGCGCACGCAGGCGGUUUGUUAAGUCAGAUGUGAAAUCCCCGAGCUUAACUUGGGAACUGCAUUUGAAACUGGCAAGCUAGAGUCUUGUAGAGGGGGGUAGAAUUCCAGGUGUAGCGGUGAAAUGCGUAGAGAUCUGGAGGAAUACCGGUGGCGAAGGCGGCCCCCUGGACAAAGACUGACGCUCAGGUGCGAAAGCGUGGGGAGCAAAC
RNAcentral lists this ribosomal RNA (751 nucleotides) under uncultured bacterium. Its description in RNAcentral is "bacterial SSU rRNA". It matches the Rfam family "Bacterial small subunit ribosomal RNA", at positions 33 to 773 of the family's 1533-position model. The record is from RNAcentral.